UUAUAUUAUAUUAUAUUAUAUUAUAUUAUAUUAUUGUUGUUUUUAUUAUUCCAGGAGAUAGGAGCAGAAGAAGAGAGAGUAGUUAGAAGCUUUGACAGUGACUGGGCUCUACCUAUCUUGUCUCUUAAGGGAUUUCUGAGGGAAGAAAAUGCAUAUUCAUCAUCCCCAUAUCCCCCUGCGUGCCUAGCUAUACACACUAUCUCCUGCUCAUGGUAUUUCCCACGUGGGCCAAGGCUCCAUGGAAUUACCCAGACUAGAGCCUUCCAGGUUCGAAACUGUACCUAAGAGAUGGGGACAACCUUUCUUCUCAGAUGACAUUCUCUGUCAACAAAGAGGAACAUCCUGGAGGAAGAGUUCUCAGGGAUUUUGCUAACAUCAGGGUCAAAAAGAGAAGGAAGUUUUGUUGAACUUCACCUUUGAGAAGAAAGCUAGAAGACGGAGGCGCAAGAUUGUUUCAGUUACUCUGAAAUGAACUGCAGAUGGGAGAAAUAUAAAAUAUUGCCACAGCUCUGGGACUGGUAACACCAAGUUCGUUAUUUUGGCUUCUCAGAGGUAGUUAGCAGUCAAAUGAUUUGUGUGUUUCGGUCAUCAAAUACAAUCAUGGGUUGGGACAGCAACCAGCCUUGGAGCAACAUGAUUCCAAGGGAUUGAGUGAAUGGCAGGGUUGUAGGUUGCCAUGUACAAUGGUCAAGAAAGAAUUCAUGAGACAUUGUACGCUGCAACGUCAUAGGUUUAAGUAGCCCAGGGCAGAAAGAGUUGCACUUUUGCUGUAUAUCUGCUUAGUGCUUAAGGGGCAGGGGAUGUGCAGGGAGUAUUAGAUCAUAUCUGUCUUCUAAUUUCUACUGGUAAAAACAACUUUCAUAAAGUUUCUCUGGUGCUUAUUAUUCAGCUUGAUAUUAACUAUUGUUGAGAUAUACAGGAAGUCAUGAGACCCUCUAAGAACAUAGCAAUGAGGGGCACCUGGGUGACUCAGUAGGUGAAACGUCCAACUCUUGGUUUCAGCUCAGGUCACGAUCUCACAGCUUCAUGGGUUUGAGCCCCACAUCGGGCUCUGUGCUGACUGUUUGGAGCCUGCUUGGGAUUCUCUCUUUCUCUCUCUCUCUGCCCCUACCCCACUUGCACUAUCUCUGUGUCUCUCAAAAUAAAUAAAUAAACUUAAAAAAAAAAAAAGAAUGU
This 1176-nucleotide long non-coding RNA is filed under the name Felis catus (domestic cat). RNAcentral's name for it is "lncRNA (ENSFCAG00000053189.1)". The record is from RNAcentral. Lineage: Eukaryota; Metazoa; Chordata; Mammalia; Carnivora; Felidae.